CCUACGGGAGGCUGCAGUGAGGAAUAUUGGUCAAUGGGCGCAAGCCUGAACCAGCCAAGUCGCGUGAGGGAAGACGGUCCUAUGGAUUGUAAACCUCUUUUGUCGGGGAGCAAAGCGCGGUACGAGUGCCGUGAAGGAGAGUACCCGAAGAAAAAGCAUCGGCUAACUCCGUGCCAGCAGCCGCGGUAAUACGGAGGAUGCGAGCGUUAUCCGGAUUUAUUGGGUUUAAAGGGAGCGUAGGCCGCAUGUCAAGCGUGCUGUGAAAUGUCCGGGCUCAACCCGGGCCUUGCAGCGCGAACUGGCGUGCUUGAGUCCGCGGAAAGCAGGCGGAAUUCGUCGUGUAGCGGUGAAAUGCUUAGAUAUGACGAAGAACCCCGAUUGCGAAGGCAGCUUGCUGCAGCGGAACUGACGCUGAUGCUCGAAAGCGCGGGUAUCGAACAGGAUUAGAUACCCCAGUAGUC
RNAcentral lists this ribosomal RNA (461 nucleotides) under uncultured bacterium. RNAcentral describes it as "partial 16S ribosomal RNA". It matches the Rfam family "Bacterial small subunit ribosomal RNA", at positions 338 to 795 of the family's 1533-position model. The record is from RNAcentral.